Molecule: ribosomal RNA, 746 nt
Filed under: bacterium EAB-2EM26.01
Lineage: Bacteria
Description: bacterial SSU rRNA
Rfam family: Bacterial small subunit ribosomal RNA
Source: RNAcentral
CGUCAGGACGAACGCUGGCGGCGUGCCUAAUACAUGCAAGUCGAGCGGAGUUGAUGAGGUGCUUGCACCUCUGAGACUUAGCGGCGGACGGGUGAGUAACACGUAGGUAACCUGCCUGUAAGACUGGGAUAACCCACGGAAACGUGAGCUAAUACCGGAUAGGCGAAACUCUCGCAUGGGAGAAUCGAGAAAGGCGGAGCAAUCUGCCACUUACAGAUGGACCUGCGGCGCAUUAGCUAGUUGGUAGGGUAACGGCCUACCAAGGCGACGAUGCGUAGCCGACCUGAGAGGGUGAUCGGCCACACUGGGACUGAGACACGGCCCAGACUCCUACGGGAGGCAGCAGUAGGGAAUCUUCCGCAAUGGGCGAAAGCCUGACGGAGCAACGCCGCGUGAGUGAUGAAGGCCUUCGGGUCGUAAAGCUCUGUUGCCAAGGAAGAACAGCCGAGAGAGUAACUGCUCUCGGAAUGACGGUACUUGAGAAGAAAGCCCCGGCUAACUACGUGCCAGCAGCCGCGGUAAUACGUAGGGGGCAAGCGUUGUCCGGAAUUAUUGGGCGUAAAGCGCGCGCAGGCGGUAAUGUAAGUUGGGUGUUUAAACCUAGGGCUCAACCUUGGGUCGCACCCAAAACUGCAUCACUUGAGUGCAGCAGAGGAAAAGUGGAAUUCCACGUGUAGCGGUGAAAUGCGUAGAGAUGUGGAGGAAACACCAGUGGCGAAAGGCGACUUUCUGGGCUGUAACUGACG